This 427-nucleotide ribosomal RNA is filed under the name uncultured bacterium. Its description in RNAcentral is "bacterial SSU rRNA". It matches the Rfam family "Bacterial small subunit ribosomal RNA", at positions 355 to 774 of the family's 1533-position model. The record is from RNAcentral.
UGGGGAAUAUUGGACAAUGGGGGCAACCCUGAUCCAGCAAUGCCGCGUGUGUGAAGAAGGCCUUCGGGUUGUAAAGCACUUUUAUCGGGAACGAAACAUUGUCGGCCAAUACCCGGCAAGACUGACGGUACCCGAGGAAUAAGCACCGGCUAACUCCGUGCCAGCAGCCGCGGUAAUACGGAGGGUGCAAGCGUUAAUCGGAAUUACUGGGCGUAAAGCGUGCGCAGGCGGUUUGUUAAGUCUGCUGUGAAAUCCCCGAGCUCAACUGGGGAAUUGCAGUGGAUACUGGCAAGCUGGAGUACGGUAGAGGAAGGUGGAAUUCCCGGUGUAGCGGUGAAAUGCGUAGAGAUCGGGAGGAACACCAGUGGCGAAGGCGGCCUUCUGGACCAGUACUGACGCUCAUGCACGAAAGCGUGGGGAGCAAACA